UCACAUGUUGAAAUUGAAUCCCCAGUGUGA
This 30-nucleotide non-coding RNA is filed under the name Homo sapiens (human). The record is from RNAcentral. Lineage: Eukaryota; Metazoa; Chordata; Mammalia; Primates; Hominidae.